AGAGUUUGAUUAUGGCUCAGGAUGAACGCUAGCGACAGGCUUAACACAUGCAAGUCGAGGGGCAGCGGGGAAGUAGCAAUACUUCCGCCGGCGACCGGCGCACGGGUGAGUAACACGUAUGGAACCUGCCCGUAGCAGGGGGAUAAGCGGAAGAAAUUCCGUCUAAUACCGCGUAAUAACUCCGAGAGGCAUCUCUUGGGGUUUAAAGGGUAACACCGGCUACGGAUGGCCAUGCGGCGCAUUAGCUAGUUGGCGGGGUAACGGCCCACCAAGGCGACGAUGCGUAGGGGUUCUGAGAGGAAGGUCCCCCACACUGGUACUGAGACACGGACCAGACUCCUACGGGAGGCAGCAGUGAGGAAUAUUGGUCAAUGGGCGCGAGCCUGAACCAGCCAAGUCGCGUGAGGGAAGACGGUCCUAUGGAUUGUAAACCUCUUUUGUCGGGGAGCAAAAGACGCCACGCGUGGCGUUCCGAGAGUACCCGAAGAAAAAGCAUCGGCUAACUCCGUGCCAGCAGCCGCGGUAAUACGGAGGAUGCGAGCGUUAUC
RNAcentral lists this ribosomal RNA (548 nucleotides) under uncultured bacterium. RNAcentral describes it as "bacterial SSU rRNA". It matches the Rfam family "Bacterial small subunit ribosomal RNA", at positions 8 to 545 of the family's 1533-position model. The record is from RNAcentral.